This 468-nucleotide ribosomal RNA is filed under the name uncultured bacterium. RNAcentral's name for it is "partial 16S ribosomal RNA". It matches the Rfam family "Bacterial small subunit ribosomal RNA", at positions 28 to 507 of the family's 1533-position model. The record is from RNAcentral.
GACGAACGCUGGCGGUGUGCUUAACACAUGCAAGUCGAACGGAAAGGCACUGCUUUCGUGCGGUGCUCGAGUGGCGAAGGGGUGAGUAACACGUGAGUAACCUGCUCUUGUCUUUGGUAUAACUUCAGGGAACUGGGGCUAAUACCGUAUAGGAGCUCCUGCUCCAGUGUGGGCGUUGGAUAUUCUCGGCGGUCGGGGAUGGAUUCGCGGCUUAUCAGCUUGUUGGUGGGGUAGUGGCUUACCCAGGCUUUGAGGGGUAGCCGGCCUGAGUGGGUGACCGGCCACAUUGGGACUGAGAUGAGGCACAGACUGGUACGGGAGGCAGCAGUGGGGAAGAUUGCACAAUGGACGGAAGCCUGAUGCAGAAACGCCGCGUGCGGGAAAGCGGCCUUCGGGUUGUAGACCGCUUGCGGCUGUAACGAAGCGUGAGUGACGGUAAUGGGUAGAAAAGGACCGGCUAACUACGUG